This 200-nucleotide non-coding RNA is filed under the name Allobosea sp. Lineage: Bacteria; Pseudomonadati; Pseudomonadota; Alphaproteobacteria; Hyphomicrobiales; Alloboseaceae. The record is from RNAcentral.
CCUACUCGUGAACGCGACGGUUCCCUCACGGGAUCAAAAGGGAACGCAGUGCGGGUGGCUCGUCCACCUCAUGCUGCGGCUGCCCCCGCAACUGUAAGCGGCGAGCCUUUCGCCAUACGCCACUGGGACCUCGGCCCUGGGAAGGCGGCGAAAGGCGGUGACCCGCGAGCCAGGAGACCUGCCGUCAGCCGUGGUCACAC